UCAACCCACCCACGCCGACAGCCUAGUCUCUCUCCAUCGCGAUUGCCAUUCCCCAUUCCCCUUCCUCUUCGUGGCCGAGCGUCUCUCUCCGCCUCAAAUCUCUCCAUCCACGCGACCACAAGCUCCCCAGCGAAGCUAGCAGGCGGAGCGCGCGGCGCGGCGGCACGGCGGCGUGGCGAUCCGGGCCAAUUUCCCUAAUCCCCUUCCUUGUCGCGGCGAAGCGUCUCGUCUCGUCUCUGCCUCGAAAUCUCUCCAUGGACGCGACCACCGGCUCCCCCACGAAUCUAGCAGGCGGUUCGCGUGGCAGUGCGGCGACGGGCCGCCGACGAUGCGGUCCAGCAGCCCGUAUCUCUCUCUUCGCCGCGGGUUCGACAUCACCGAUGACUGGCAGGGAGGAGGGAUCUGGGUCUCGAGUUUUGAGCCGAAAAUUAGCAGAAAAUACAUGUUGAAGACAAUAGGUACUUGUCUUCAAGCCCUGCAGAUGAUGAAGACUGAUUUGAGAGAAAUCAUGGCUACACAUUCUAGCUUCCUGGAAGAGAAAUUUUACAUGCCUCUCCUUGCUUUCAGGUUCCUGGCAAUGCAGUUUGCCACUAGUUUUUGUUCAUUUACUAGUUUAAGGUGCCUCACAAACUACUAAAGCCUGGUGCUUUUUGGUGCUGGAUUGUACUCAAGAACAUACAUCCUACAAUGCAGACCACUUUGUACCACUAUGUCCUUUUCUCUCAUAACUGUUGGAGACCAGUUUUAUACAUCUAUGACAAUAUCUGUGGGGUAGCUGAUACUGAGGCAUCAGCCGGCCUGAAUCUAGCUUCCUGGAUGUUCAUGUAAAACUACAGAUCUAGAGGUGCAUGAAUUUGGCUGCAACCUUUCAUACC
Molecule: long non-coding RNA, 875 nt
Organism: Lolium rigidum
Lineage: Eukaryota; Viridiplantae; Streptophyta; Magnoliopsida; Poales; Poaceae
Exons: 2
Source: RefSeq, a predicted model, not a curated record